GACAGAGGGUGCAAACGUUGUUCGGAAUUACUGGGCGUAAAGCGCGUGUAGGCGGCUAUGUAAGUCGGGCGUGAAAUCCCACGGCUCAACCGUGGAAGUGCACUCGAAACUGCGUAGCUAGAGUCCUGGAGAGGAAGGUGGAAUGCUUGGUGUAGAGGUGAAAUUCGUAGAUAUCAAGCGGAACACCGGUGGCGAAGGCGGCCUUCUGGACAGUGACUGACGCUGAGACGCGAAAGCGUGGGGAGCAAACGGG
RNAcentral lists this ribosomal RNA (253 nucleotides) under uncultured bacterium. Its description in RNAcentral is "partial 16S ribosomal RNA". It matches the Rfam family "Bacterial small subunit ribosomal RNA", at positions 524 to 776 of the family's 1533-position model. The record is from RNAcentral.